Long non-coding RNA from Thalassophryne amazonica, 3411 nucleotides. RefSeq lists it as uncharacterized. The record is from RefSeq and is a predicted model, not a curated record. NCBI's taxonomy places the organism in Eukaryota, Metazoa, Chordata, Actinopteri, Batrachoidiformes, Batrachoididae. The transcript has 2 exons.
CAAUGGUCUUCCCAUUGAAUCUCUGUGAUAUUUAAGUUGUUUAUAUGUUCUUUAACGGUGUUUUAGUGGAAAACCCUAUUUUGGCAGCCAUCUUGGACGCCAUCUUGGCUAACUGGCUUGAGGACAGUUUUUAUUUUGGGAACGUCCCAAUGGGGUCAUCUGAGGAACCUAAAACAGUUGGUUGGUUUAGUCCUGGGGGGGUGCAAAGGUAGUGGUCGUAGCUCCCUAGUAGAUAACAGAACGCUAUAAAAACACAACUUUCCAUUCAUCAAAAACAUUCAUCAUGAGGAAAAAAAAAACAAAACAGCUCAAUGUUUUUCGGGUGUUUUGAAACAGUGAAAGGUGCACUGUACCAGGUGAACUUGACAAGACUUUGUCCCCACGCUUGGGGGUCUCUGGAUCACUCGCCUUGUCCUCAUCUGUCCCCAGCAGUAGUUUGAUGUGGACACUUUGGCUUACGAUAAAUUCAGCAGGCCGUCUGUGUUGGAUCUGGGGGGUCAUUAAAGUUCGGUUCGAGCCUCAUAGUCCUGUCCAAACCCAACAGGCGUUUUAAUGUUUUCUGUCAAAACCUGUUAUUUCCGUCCGAAACAAAUUCCUGCAGACAGGAAUGAAGUGAUUGGAUCUUGUAUUUUCUUCUUUUUUUUUUAUUUUUUUAUUAAUAAAAGCGGGCGUUUGCCUCAUGUGAGGCAAACUUGCGCACACAGAGUAAAUAAAAUCUUUAAUCUGACCUGUUAUUGCCUCAUUUCGUCUGGAUCCAUCAUCGCAGACACACUGGUGUCCAAAUAAGGCGUCGUUGUUUUGGAAAUAUUUUAAUUCCUUAUUAUUGGAGAACCGCUGUCUGGACGCUACUUGUGCAUGUGCGUUCAAGAAUGUAACAACACUCUAUUGUAAUACUGAGACUUGACACAUUAAUUACUUUUCCUUGGCUGCCAUUCUUACAACAUUGUUACUGUAUUUUCUGGCAAAUAAGUCGGGCCUGUUGGGGAAAAGGAAAAAAAAGCCUCUUGAAUCGUACAUUUUUCUGUAUAUUCAGCUCUUUGAUUUUUUUUUGUUUGUUUGUUUUGUUUUUUUACAUUGUUCCAGUGUAUUUUUUGUUGUUGUCACUUAUUCUCUUAUUAUUGCAGUUUGCCUUUUUUGGCAAUUGAUUCGUUGGGAAGUUCUUAAAAAAGGUGAAUUAUAUUUUAUUAUUAACAAAGGUGUGUGUGUGUGUGUGUCGCACUGGAAUAUAAGUCACAGGACCUAAAUUAGUUAAAGUAAUUAAAUUAGUAACAAAAAUAGAAAAAUGUGACUUUUAUACUGAAAAACCAUGCAUUGUCAUUCAUAAUUAUAAUAGCUAUUUAUAUGUGGCUUCCCGAGGAAUCAAAGCACUAAAUAAAAUAAACUCCAAUAAGAAAUAAUAAAUGCCAAAAAGAAGUACACUACAACAAUGCACAAAAAAUUAAAAAUUAAAGAGCGAUUAAUACAGAAAAAGGUGCGACUUAUCGACUUAUACUCUGGAAAAUCCAGUAAAUACAGUACUGGAUUCUUAAAAUAUUAGAGAAUUCAACAUUUAAAAAUCAUUCAUCUAAAACAGCACAUAGGAGCCCUGAUGACAGUGAUAUUUCAUUUGUUGCUUUGCUGUCUGUCGGUUUGUUUCUGUGAAUGCGUGUUUCUGUUUCCCUGGUUUCAUGCUGCCUUCAAUUAAAAAAAAAAAGGUCAGACAUUGCAAUCAUAAAUUCACUUGCUGGAUAUUACAUUUGUUUCCGAGCUUAAAAAAAAAAGCUGAAGAAAUGGUGCCAACUGAGGGAAAGCUUGGCUAAAAUAUAAUUCUAAUUCACAGUGUAACCACCAGGGGGCAGAAUAACAGAUUUGCUUUUGUUUUGCUGUAGUUAUGACUUUUCCUUUUUACUGCUGCUGUAGUUACACUAUCCCUGAGUCCAUUGAAUUUUUUCUUCUUUUUUUUUUUAUUGUUACUAUUUUGGAAGAUGCUCACAAGCAACAAUCAAGUAUUUAAGAGCUAAUAUGCGGUUUGCGGCCAGUUGCACAAUCCUUCCAACAGUAAAUGGUUUUCUUCAUAUUUAAUUUUCUUCCCGUGUACGUUGUGUUGGGUUAACUCACCCUCGAUGAUAUCAGAGUAUGAAUCACAAGUUGGCGAUGGAUGUGAUUGGUGUUCAAAAUGGAGACGGCUAUCAUGUUAGCUCACUGUACCAUAAUCUACACUUUAUUUUAAAAAAAACCCCAAAAAAACAAAGAACUUCUUGUGAGAAAACGGUUGCAGAAAUGGAUAAAUAGAAUUGGUGACAUUGAACGACAAUCUGUGUAGCAUCUGAGCUAUCUUGCUAGCCUAACAUUUUUACUGCUGUUGUUUCCCCCAACCAGCUAGCAUGGCAACCUAGCCAGAAAUGCGUAUCUUAGCAAGAAAAUUUUUUGUGUUCCGUGGGCAACAUUAUAUAGCUUCUCCAUGAUUUUCCAAAAUAAUGCGGGAUAUUUGUCUGUGGUAUUUAUCUGUACUGACAAUGCCAUAGUCGUGCAAAGCUUCCAGUCAUGACCAUUUCGUGAGAGAAUCCGCUUUUCCAACCCCAAGCACGGUAACAAGCUGUGCAAGACGAAACAGGUGCCCAAGUUACGCAAUCUUGAGCUGAAGUCCUCUGAUUUGUCGGCUGAUGUUUGCUGCUGCCUUAAAUCCCAGUCGUCCUCCAGUCUUUGAUUCGAUUUCACAAUAACGCCUGUGAAUCCAACAUUUGUUCCCACUUAGCAUUUGGGAACUGGAAUGUAUCGAGUCAUGCCUUCCUUUUUGUGGCGACUAUAGGAGUCAUGUCCCGUGAUCAGAUCGCUGAGGAAUUUUUGGACUUUAAUUAUAAUGAUGCAUCAGUGCUACUGAAGACCACCGAGUGCUCUGCCACCAAAAAAAAAAAAAUGUUUUUUAAGAGCCUCUGAGCUGGUGGGGGGGGGUGGUGGCACGUCACAGAAUUGGCCCUUUUUUUUUUUUUUUACGAUCCACCACCCCAUUUUUAUGAAAGCUGCGGUCAAAGUCAUCGAACUUUCACUUCCAUCCAGAAAAACGCUGAGUGUUGCAAAGGUGAUGCGGAUUACAUGUCGUCAUGGUAACUAGUGUCACCAUGCCAGUACUGUUGAUGAUGAUGAUGAUGAUGAACUUUGUUUUCCGCUGUGUUGAAACCGUGCACGCAGACAAGCACUUACAAUACACACACACACACACGUGUAAAUACAACGUGGUGCCACCACACUAGGUUUCUGUGUUCCACUUGUUGCACGUGUUCUGAUCCGGAUUCAUAAAUUUAAGUAAAACUUUACUGCAAUAUUUUAUUUUCUUGUUUCCCAGCCUGAUCUGUGUGAAUUCUUUAGGUGUUUUUGUUGUUGUUGUUGUUUUUUAAUUUGUUUCCUUGUGGAAUUAAAUUAUGAUCUGAAAAC